RNAcentral lists this ribosomal RNA (443 nucleotides) under uncultured bacterium. Its description in RNAcentral is "partial 16S ribosomal RNA". It matches the Rfam family "Bacterial small subunit ribosomal RNA", at positions 338 to 795 of the family's 1533-position model. The record is from RNAcentral.
CCUACGGGUGGCAGCAGUGGGGAAUAUUGGGCAAUGGGCGCAAGCCUGACCCAGCAACGCCGCGUGAAGGAAGAAGGCCCUCGGGUUGUCAACUUCUUUUGUCAGGGACGAAGAAAGUGACGGUACCUGACGAAUAAGCCACGGCUAACUACGUGCAAGCAGCCGCGGGAAUACGUGGGUGGCAAGCGUUAUCCGGAUUUACUGGGUGUAAAGGGCGUGUAGGCGGGACUGCAAGGCAGAUGUGGAAUUCCAGGGCUCAAACCUGGAAGUGCAUUUGAAACUGGAGUUCUUGAGUGGUGGAGAGGCAGGCGGAAGUCCGUGUGUAGCGGUGAAAUGCGUAGAUAUACGGAAGAACACCAGUGGCGAAGGCAGCCUGCUGGACAUUAACUGACGCUGAGGCACGAAAGCGUGGGGAGCGAACAGGAUUAGAUACCCUGGUAGUC